Oncorhynchus keta (chum salmon) is the source of this 468-nucleotide long non-coding RNA. RefSeq lists it as uncharacterized. The record is from RefSeq and is a predicted model, not a curated record. Lineage: Eukaryota; Metazoa; Chordata; Actinopteri; Salmoniformes; Salmonidae. The transcript is spliced from 3 exons.
AGGGGACAGGAAGCCAUGUCAGGGGACAGGAAGCCAUGUCAGGGGACAGGAAGCCAUGUCAGGGGACAGGAAGCCAUGUCAGGGGACAGGAAGCCAUGUCAGGGGACAGGAAGCCAUGUCAGGGGACAGGAAGCCAUGUCAGGGGACAGGAAGCCAUGUCAGGGGACAGGAAGCCAUGUCAGGGGACAGGAAGCCAUGUCAGGGGACAGGAAGCCAUGUCAGGGGACAGGAAGCCAUGUCAGGGGACAGGAAGCCAUGUCAGGGGACAGGAAGCCAUGUCAGGGGACAGGAAGCCAUGUCAGGGGACAGGAAGCCAUGUCAGGGGACAGGAAGCCAUGUCAGGGGACAGGAAGCCAUGUCAGGGGACAGGAAGCCAUGUCAGGGGACAGGAAGCCAUGUCAGGGGACAGGAAUAGAAUGCUUUUGUGUGUUUGGCAGAGAGGAUUUGAUGUUAACUUUGACACUCACC